RNAcentral lists this ribosomal RNA (233 nucleotides) under Candidatus Peregrinibacteria bacterium. RNAcentral's name for it is "partial 23S ribosomal RNA". It matches the Rfam family "Bacterial large subunit ribosomal RNA", at positions 2671 to 2912 of the family's 2925-position model. The record is from RNAcentral. Lineage: Bacteria; Candidatus Peregrinibacteriota.
UCUGCUCUUAGUACGAGAGGACCGGAGUGGACGAACCUCUGGUGUACCUGUUGUCGCGUCAGCGGCAUCGCAGGGUAGCUAUGUUCGGCGGGGAUAACCGCUGAAAGCAUCUAAGUGGGAAGCCCCUCCUAAGAUUGCGUCUCUCCAUAAGCCCGCCGGAAGAACACCGGCUAGAUCGGCUGCAUGUGUACGCACGGUAACGUGUUUAGCAGAGCAGUACGAACGGGCGAUUG